This 503-nucleotide ribosomal RNA is filed under the name uncultured bacterium. RNAcentral describes it as "partial 16S ribosomal RNA". It matches the Rfam family "Bacterial small subunit ribosomal RNA", at positions 29 to 523 of the family's 1533-position model. The record is from RNAcentral.
AACGAACGCUGGCGGCGUGUUUAAGACAUGCAAGUCGCACGGGAUAAGACAUGUAGUAAUACUUGUUUUAUUUAGUGGCGCACGGGUGAGUAACACGUGAAUUACAUGCCCUAUAGUGGGGAAUAGCCCAGGGAAACUUGGAUUAAUACCCCAUGGUAUCGAAAGAUUAAAGGUGGCCGCAAGGCUGUCGCUAUAGGAUUGGUUCGCGCCCUAUCAGCUUGUUGGUGAGGUAACGGCUCACCAAGGCAAUGACGGGUACCUGGUCUGAGAGGACGAUCAGGCACAAUGGAACUGAGACACGGUCCAGACACCUACGGGUGGCAGCAGUCGAGAAUAAUUCACAAUGGGGGCAACCCUGAUGGUGCAACGCCGCGUGGAGGAUGACGGUCUUCGGAUUGUAAACUCCUGUCACCUGGGAGAAAGACCUGACGGUAAAUAGCCGGCAGGGUUGAUAGUACCAGAAGAGGAAGGGACGGCUAACUUCGUGCCAGCAGCCGCCGUAA